Molecule: transfer RNA, 83 nt
Filed under: Oryctolagus cuniculus (rabbit)
Lineage: Eukaryota; Metazoa; Chordata; Mammalia; Lagomorpha; Leporidae
Rfam family: tRNA
About the family: Transfer RNA (tRNA) molecules are approximately 80 nucleotides in length. Their secondary structure includes four short double-helical elements and three loops (D, anti-codon, and T loops). Further hydrogen bonds mediate the characteristic L-shaped molecular structure. tRNAs have two regions of fundamental functional importance: the anti-codon, which is responsible for specific mRNA codon recognition, and the 3' end, to which the tRNAs corresponding amino acid is attached (by aminoacyl-tRNA synthetases). tRNAs cope with the degeneracy of the genetic code in two manners: having more than one tRNA (with a specific anti-codon) for a particular amino acid; and 'wobble' base-pairing, i.e. permitting non-standard base-pairing at the 3rd anti-codon position.
Source: Rfam by way of RNAcentral
GGUGCUGUAGCUUAGUGGGUUAAAGCAGUGGCCUACCAUGCCGGCAUUCCAUAUGGGUGCCGGUUCAAGUCCCAGCUGCUCCA